Molecule: non-coding RNA, 26 nt
Filed under: Cricetulus griseus (Chinese hamster)
Lineage: Eukaryota; Metazoa; Chordata; Mammalia; Rodentia; Cricetidae
Source: RNAcentral
UAUUUGGGACCAUGGGAAUGAUAGUU